This 301-nucleotide ribosomal RNA is filed under the name uncultured bacterium. RNAcentral describes it as "partial 16S ribosomal RNA". It matches the Rfam family "Bacterial small subunit ribosomal RNA", at positions 509 to 809 of the family's 1533-position model. The record is from RNAcentral.
CAGUAGCCGCGGGAACACGUAGGUGGCAAGCGUUGUCCGGAAUUAUUGGGCGUAAAGGGCUCGCAGGCGGUUUCUUAAGUCUGAUGUGAAAGCCCCCGGCUCAACCGGGGAGGGUCAUUGGAAACUGGGAAACUUGAGUGCAGAAGAGGAGAGUGGAAUUCCACGUGUAGCGGUGAAAUGCGUAGAGAUGUGGAGGAACACCAGUGGCGAAGGCGACUCUCUGGUCUGUAACUGACGCUGAGGAGCGAAAGCGUGGGGAGCGAACAGGAUUAGAUACCCCGGUAGUCCCUGUCUCUUAUAA